Molecule: ribosomal RNA, 478 nt
Filed under: uncultured bacterium
Lineage: Bacteria
Description: partial 16S ribosomal RNA
Rfam family: Bacterial small subunit ribosomal RNA
Source: RNAcentral
GACGAACGCUGGCGGCGUGCUUAACACAUGCAAGUCGAACGGUAAGGCCCUUCGGGGUACACGAGUGGCGGACGGGUGAGUAACACGUGGGUGAUCUGCCCUGCACUUCGGGAUAAGCCUGGGAAACUGGGUCUAAUACCGGAUAGGACUCCGGACUGCAUGGUCUGGGGUGGAAAGCUUUUGCGGUGUGGGAUGGGCCCGCGGCCUAUCAGCUUGGUGGUGGGGUGAUGGCCUACCAAGGCGACGACGGGUAGCCGGCCUGAGAGGGUGACCGGCCACACUGGGACUGAGAGACGGCCCAGACUCAUACGGGAGGCAGCAGUGGGGAAUAUUGCACAAUGGGCGCAAGCCUGAUGCAGCGACGCCGCGUGAGGGAUGACGGCCUUCGGGUUGUAAACCUCUUUCAGCAUCGACGAAGCGAAAGUGACGGUAGGUGCAGAAGAAGGACCGGCCAACUACGUGCCAGCCGCCGCCGUAA